RNAcentral lists this long non-coding RNA (790 nucleotides) under Ananas comosus (pineapple). RNAcentral describes it as "long non-coding RNA (ACOM_LNC020428)". Lineage: Eukaryota; Viridiplantae; Streptophyta; Magnoliopsida; Poales; Bromeliaceae. The record is from RNAcentral.
AAUAUGAACUCUUCCGAAUCAAUCUAUCUAGAUGAUCCAACAAGUUUAUUCAAUUUAAGCAAUCAACAAAUACUAGUGAAGGGACCCGCGCUUUGCAGCGGAUAGAAACCGUAGCAGUAAUUAAUAAUAUGAAAAUAUCAAACAUUCUCAUGUGUAUCUCACUUGGUACAUCCACCAAAGGUCUCUCAAUGUUGGCGGAGGAUAUGGACCCGACGAUGCCUUCUUCGGCGAUGGUGAUAGUGACGGCGACAACAAUCCCUCAGACCGCGGCGGAAGGGGAAAGUGGGCGCGCAUUCAUGAGAGAGAGAGAGAGAGAGAGAGAGGAAAGGAGGUGAUGGUGUAUAGCAAAAGAUGAGAGAUAGAGAAUUGAUGAAUAGAUUGAAGAUAAAGAAUUGAAAGUCCAGUGAGGAAAGAAAAAAGGUCAUCAUGAGUAAUUAGAGAUAAAGAUGUUAGGAUUGUAGAUGGUAAUGGCACUCUUUAAAUAUAUGAAUUGGAAGUUAGGUAGUAGGACCGUUUGCAUUAAUUGAAAUAUAAUGGAGGGAAGGGAAAUGGUCAUUAUGAAUAAUUGUAGAUAGAAACGAUACAAUUGAAUACACUACUUGAAAGUUUGAUUAGUGGGACCGUUAAAAUGUAUAUUGAAAAUUUGGUGAAUGAAAGAAGAAGAGUCACAUGUUAGUGAGGGUGAAGAAAAACUUGCCACGUGGCAAUAAAUAUUGGGAAUUCAUAUAGGUUAAUAGAUAAUAUGAUUUUAUAGUUAAAUAAGUAUCUAAGCAAGUUAGAAUAUUCAAUG